UGAGCGAGUAAAAUGUUUAUAGAUUUGUAUCAAAUUGACUUUUAUAUUUGCGACAAGUUGGAUUAAAAUUUUGUGGUUUUAAUAUAUAUUGAAUAGAAGCAGUGGUACAUAAAUUAAUAUACUGAAAAGACAAUAUAGUAAAGCGGAAUUGAUGCUAACAAAAAACAAGAAAUCGGUGAGAAAUAUUUUUAAAUAUAGAAGGUGAGAAUUUAUUUAUCGAUAUCCUGGGAUACCUCUGCUGUAUAAAUGUAGAAUAUUAACUAAAUACAUGGUAAAUAUAGUAAUGAUAUUUAUCAAUGCACUAUUGAAAUGCAUGUAUUCACCUGUGUUAACAAGAACAUUUGAAUAUUUGCGAGCUUUGCGAAUUUAUAGAUCAAAAUAUAGAUCUGUUAUGUACUUGCCAACAAUUUUGAUUUUAAAAUUUUUGUUUGAUGUUUAGGAAUUGAAAUGUUUUACCUGUGGCAGAAAAUUUAAAUGGUGUCAUACAGGCAUAUACAGGGACAGUUGUCAAGAAAAUAUAUAAUUAAACAAGGUCAUAUUUGAAGAAUUUGGUGAAAGUGGUAUUUGUGAGUGACAAAGUUCAGGCAAAAGACAUAUUGGACAACAUGGAUGUACAUAAUUUUGCUGUUCCUUUAUUUCGUCAAGUCAGGAAAUGGCCGAACUGCAGUCUGCAUAGUGUCAUGUUUGUAAUAUUUUCAAACAAGAUUCACCUGAUCACCACCCAACAAUGGCUUGUUGUUGGACUUCCGGGAACACCGAUAUUCUAGUUUAUAUUCAAAUGUUACUUGUUCGAACUAGUUUGCGUUAGAACAUUCACAAGGUACAGCAUCUAAUUCUGAUUAGUAUGUGAAAACUGAAGCAACAAUUUCAACACGAACACUCCAGGCAGGCACAUGUGAACAGGAAUAGAAUAAAAUUUGGAGGUUAAUAUUGUUAAUUUAAUACAUAAUAAUAAAUGUAUUUAUUGUAAUAAAAUUAUGAUGAAAUUUAUUAUUAUUAUUAUUAAAAUUAUUAUUGAAUUUUUAAUUUAUUAAAUUGUUGAAUAUGAUAUUAUUACAGCUCCAGUAAGCAGAAAUAAGCCCCAAAGCAUCAUCUUUUAUUAGUUGCUCUGCAGAGAAAGCAUCUAUUACAAUUAUUAUUUUUUUUAUAUACAUGUAAAAUAUCCAAAAACUUUCUCCAUGACAGGUUGCAAAUCACUUGAAGGUGAGAAAGGCAAUAAACCAAUCCAAGCCCUCUUCAACAGAUAUCUCUUGUGAUACAUGUCACUGGAAUAUUGCUUAAUUUUUAUAUUGUACUCAGUGAUGGUUGCUUUUUCCAGAAAAAUGACUUUGUACACUUUACCAUCAACCUGCAUCAAAUCACUAUAUAAUCAUAAUAAUAUUAAUACUCAAUACAAGUACUUUUUAUUGCUGUGGAUAUUGUUACUGCAAUAUUUGCCUUUUAUGCUCAAAUGAAUCCACAUCUCUAUGAACAAAAGAGGCAAAUUGUCCUGGCAGUGCACCAUUUAAUACCUGUAUUCUAAAAGCUCACUCACACUCAGUAGUGGAGGUUCAAUCUGAGCUUGCCUUGAGUGUCAAUGUUAUUUUUGAACUGCUAGAGGGCUAGUGUCACCUCGUACUCAGUGACUACUUACCUUCCCUAUUCCAAAACAGCAUUGACACUCAAGAGAAGCUCAG
This is a non-coding RNA of Paramuricea clavata, 1676 nucleotides long. Lineage: Eukaryota; Metazoa; Cnidaria; Anthozoa; Malacalcyonacea; Plexauridae. The record is from the annotation of a GenBank genome assembly.